Gossypium arboreum is the source of this 280-nucleotide long non-coding RNA. RefSeq lists it as uncharacterized. The transcript is spliced from 2 exons. The record is from RefSeq and is a predicted model, not a curated record. Lineage: Eukaryota; Viridiplantae; Streptophyta; Magnoliopsida; Malvales; Malvaceae.
GAAAUAAAGGAAAUAAAGAGAGAGAAACAGAAUGUGGAACGAAAAGCAGGGGAAGGAAAGAAAAAAAAGAAGAAAAGAAACGAAAAAGGAGAAAUAGGGAUUUUAAAGUUUGGAAGUUUAAUAGGUUAAGGCUAGACCGUUGAAUUAGCAUCCCAGGCCGAUCUCAAAUUCAAUGAGGUGAAGUAUGUUGAGUAUUAGUAAUGGCAUGUACCUAGGAUGUCUUAUGAGAGUCAUUUAGGUUGUGAAAGUAUUGAUAAAAUAAAUAAAUUAUGGUUGGCAA